GUAUCUAAUACCCAGAUAGUAGUAUCACAAAUAGAGAAAUUACAAGGUGUUAUCAUAUAAAUACCUUAUGAAACAACCACUUGCCUCUUUCUCUUAUUCUUAGGCCCGUUUGGGUCAAGGGUGGCUAUAUAAGUAGGACAAUUUCUUUUUCACUGACCCAGCUUCUUACAGAAGAAGCACUCUGCCUGGCUCUUGUCAACUUUUGAUGGUUUGCUCUGCUCG
Molecule: long non-coding RNA, 222 nt
Filed under: Elaeis guineensis (African oil palm)
Lineage: Eukaryota; Viridiplantae; Streptophyta; Magnoliopsida; Arecales; Arecaceae
Description: long non-coding RNA (EGUI_LNC063913)
Source: RNAcentral